RNAcentral lists this ribosomal RNA (101 nucleotides) under Jaculus jaculus (lesser Egyptian jerboa). Lineage: Eukaryota; Metazoa; Chordata; Mammalia; Rodentia; Dipodidae. The record is from RNAcentral.
UGUGGCCAUCCCUGAAGACACUUCAUCUUGUCUGGUCUUGGAAGCUAAGCAGGGUCAGGCCUGGGUAGUGCAUGGAAGGGAGAACCUUGGGGUUGUCACGA